RNAcentral lists this ribosomal RNA (501 nucleotides) under Triticum aestivum (bread wheat). RNAcentral's name for it is "partial small subunit ribosomal RNA". The record is from RNAcentral. Lineage: Eukaryota; Viridiplantae; Streptophyta; Magnoliopsida; Poales; Poaceae.
AUGGCGUUGCACUGCGCUGCCGCCGUCAGCGUCUCGCCGUCCACCGGCCAGUGCCUCCUGCAUCGUCAACACCACCGCCGGUGUGCUGUGCCAAGGCCACGGUUCCGGCCGCAGCCACGCGGCCUGACAACCACCGGUGGCCCUGCCCGGUGGGCGUGCGGCGCCAGGAGGCGGGUGAGGUACGAGGAAGAGGAUGAGGACGAGGAGGAGUACGGGCACAACGAGGAGAUGGCGCGGCUGGAGGCCUACAGCGAGGGAGCGCGCGACGUGGCCCUCCUGGUCACGGCCGCCGUCGACGGCGAGCUCGAGCCCGUGCUCGUCUUCAAGGGCUUCUCGUCGAGCCUGAGCGGGAGGACGGCGCCGGACCCGGCCAUGAGCGUGCUCCCGGAGAGGGCCGUCAUACAGCGCGUCGACGUGGUCAAGGGGCCGUUCGACCCCAGCAACAUCGAAUACCUCGAGAAGGAUCUGCCAUGGGAAGAAUUCAAGAGCCGCCUCCAAUAG